GAGACAGAAAGGAUGGAGACAUAGUACAGGAAGACAAAAGCGGUAGAAAGAAAAAGAUAGAGAGUCCGAUUAGGAAGGAGAGAAGGGAGUUUUGAGUGAUAGCGAACAUACUGUAGAUGAAAGCUUUCGAAGGAGUGGGAUGCUGAGAAGCAUCAGCGCUGUCAGAGCAUGUUCAGCCCUCAGGGACAGCCGGGGGGCGGCCGUCAGCCUUUAUUUGGAGAGCAGAGGGUUUUCUGCACUACCUGCAGCCCUGGAAUCAGCUGACAGGUUAAGUCAUUGUGCUUGACCAGCCUGGCAUCAGAUCAUCGGCCUUAAAGUGAGGGAGCAGAGAAGGAAGACGCUGUGUGCAAACUGCCCUCCAGUGGAGACAGUGUGUACUUCACGCACGUUGAUCCCUUGCCCUCCAUUUAGUGUUUCUUAAUGUUAGCCACCCCCACUACUGCUGCAGUCAGUUGUAUUCAUUGUAGCCGAGGCCAUGAGUAUACUGCAGAGGAAAGUGCUCUAGCACCAGACAAUGACUGGACUACGUCCAUGCAUACAUCAACUGCUGGCAGCAGAGCGUCCAUGUGUACUGGACUUGGCUCUGAAAUAAGGAACUAUACAAGUAUUUAGCGAAUGUUUGAGUGGUGAAUAAAUGCGUAAAGAACCAA
This is a long non-coding RNA of Stegastes partitus (bicolor damselfish), 650 nucleotides long. RefSeq lists it as uncharacterized. Lineage: Eukaryota; Metazoa; Chordata; Actinopteri; Pomacentridae. The record is from RefSeq and is a predicted model, not a curated record. The transcript is spliced from 4 exons.